CUGAAAGCUGGACCUCUUCCACAUCUUUCAGAAUACUGACUUCAGUUCCUGUUAACACACUUAUCUUUAGACAUCAUGGGACCCAGUCCAGUUGAAAGGUAAAUGUGUACAGAUUAGUCCACCUAGCCCACUUUAUCUACUAACUGGAUCUAGAGACCAGAUCUUUUUUAAACUUCACAUUCUCCUUGCAGGUGUGCUUCUGACUUUCUAUAUUUUUCUGGACACCAUAUCUAAGCUUCAGUCUUACUUUGGAACCUUCUUCAGAGAUUGGAGCCUUUUCAUCCUGGAAUAUUCAAUCAUUUCUGUGGUUUCCUCACAGUGGAAUAUCAUCCCGUCAUGUUGGCCCCCUUCACCCUUUGUUUGAUCAACUUUUAUUUGGAGUAAC
This 385-nucleotide long non-coding RNA is filed under the name Sarcophilus harrisii (Tasmanian devil). Its description in RNAcentral is "lncRNA (ENSSHAG00000025454.1)". Lineage: Eukaryota; Metazoa; Chordata; Mammalia; Dasyuromorphia; Dasyuridae. The record is from RNAcentral.